GCGAGGUGACGAUAGAAAUUCAUAAGUCUGUCAAUCCACUGAUUUACUGAUGUUUACUAUGAAUCUCUACAGGUUCUGAUCGU
Impatiens glandulifera is the source of this 83-nucleotide small nucleolar RNA. RefSeq annotates it as small nucleolar RNA snoR14. The record is from RefSeq and is a predicted model, not a curated record. The transcript has a single exon. Lineage: Eukaryota; Viridiplantae; Streptophyta; Magnoliopsida; Ericales; Balsaminaceae.